AGAGUUUGAUCCUGGCUCAGGAUGAACGCUGGCGACGUGCCUAACACAUGCAAGUCGAACGGUCGCAAGACAGUGGCGGACGGGUGAGGAACACGUAGCUGACCUGCCCCAGAGUGCGGGAUAACGUCACGAAAGCGACGCUAAUACCGCAUAACCUCGCGAGGAUUAGAAGCUGGCGAGCAAAGGUUAACUGCUCUGGGAGGGGGCUGCGGCCCAUCAGGUAGUUGGUGCGGUAACGGCGCACCAAGCCAACGACGGGUCGGGGGUCUGAGAGGACGACCCCCCACACUGGGACUGAGACACGGCCCAGACUCCUACGGGAGGCAGCAGUGAGGGAUAUUGCGCAAUGGGGGAAACCCUGACGCAGCGACGUCGCGUGGGCGAAGAAGGCCUUCGGGUUGUAAAGCCCUUUUCUGGGUGACGAGAGAGGGCGGUAGCCCAGGAAUAAGUCUCGGCUAACUACGUGCCAGCAGCCGCGGUAAAACGUAGGAGGCGAGCGUUAUCCGGAGUUACUGGGCGUAAAGCGCGCGCAGGCGGUUGGAUA
RNAcentral lists this ribosomal RNA (544 nucleotides) under uncultured bacterium. RNAcentral's name for it is "bacterial SSU rRNA". It matches the Rfam family "Bacterial small subunit ribosomal RNA", at positions 8 to 585 of the family's 1533-position model. The record is from RNAcentral.